This 253-nucleotide ribosomal RNA is filed under the name uncultured bacterium. RNAcentral describes it as "partial 16S ribosomal RNA". It matches the Rfam family "Bacterial small subunit ribosomal RNA", at positions 524 to 776 of the family's 1533-position model. The record is from RNAcentral.
UACAGAGGGUGCGAGCGUUGUCCGGAAUCACUGGGCGUAAAGGGCGCGUAGGCGGCUUGAUAAGUAGGGGGUGAAAUCUCAUGGCUCAACUGUGAGGCUGCCUUCUAGACUGUCUGGCUUGAGCACAGUAGAGGCGAGUGGAAUUCCCGGUGUAGCGGUGGAAUGCGUAGAGAUCGGGAAGAACAUCGGUGGCGAAGGCGGCUCGCUGGGCUGUUGCUGACGCUGAUGCGCGAAAGCGUGGGGAGCAAACAGG